RNAcentral lists this small nuclear RNA (86 nucleotides) under Octodon degus (degu). Its description in RNAcentral is "U4 spliceosomal RNA (ENSODEG00000023115.1)". The record is from RNAcentral. Lineage: Eukaryota; Metazoa; Chordata; Mammalia; Rodentia; Octodontidae.
AGCUUUGCCAAGCAGAAAUAUCAUAGCCAGUGAGGUUUACCUGAAGCACAAUUCUUGCUAAUUGAAAACUUAAAAUAAUGUGUCUC